UACGGAGGAUGCGAGCGUUGUCCGGAAUUACUGGGUGUAAAGGGAGCGUAGGCGGGAUUGCAAGUCAGAUGUGAAAACUAUGGGCUUAACCUAUAGACUGCAUUUGAAACUGUAGUUCUUGAGUGAAGUAGAGGUAAGCGGAAUUCCUAGUGUAGCGGUGAAAUGCGUAGAUAUUAGGAGGAACAUCGGUGGCGAAGGCGGCUUACUGGGCUUUUACUGACGCUGAGGAACGAAAGCGUGGGGAGCAAAUAGG
This 253-nucleotide ribosomal RNA is filed under the name uncultured bacterium. Its description in RNAcentral is "partial 16S ribosomal RNA". It matches the Rfam family "Bacterial small subunit ribosomal RNA", at positions 524 to 776 of the family's 1533-position model. The record is from RNAcentral.